Molecule: long non-coding RNA, 226 nt
Filed under: Ictidomys tridecemlineatus (thirteen-lined ground squirrel)
Lineage: Eukaryota; Metazoa; Chordata; Mammalia; Rodentia; Sciuridae
Description: lncRNA (ENSSTOG00000029348.1)
Source: RNAcentral
AGAAGAGAGGACCCCAGGCCUCCCUGUGGGGGCCGUCGCUGGCAUCGUGACUGGGGUCCUGGUCGGGGUGGCUCUGGUGGCCGCUCUGGGGUGUUUCCUGCUCCACACAAGAACUGGAAGGCCAAGGUCCCUCUGACAGCUCCACCUCUCUGGUAAGUCCCCCUGCUAUCUCUACACAGGGGACUAGCUCUGCAGGCUCAGGGGCACUGUCAACCCCCACACAGCA